ACCGAUUGAAUGGCUCAGUGAGGCCUUCGGACUGGCUCAGGGAGGUCGGCAACGACCACCCAGAGCCGGAAAGUUGGACAAACUUGGUCAUUUAGAGGAAGUAAAAGUCGUAACAAGGUUUCCGUAGGUGAACCUGCGGAAGGAUCAUUACCAAAUCAUGUCUCCCGGCCGCAAGGCAGGUGCAGGCGUUUAACCCUUUGUGAACCAAAAAACCUUUCGCUUCGGCAGCAGCUCGGUUGGAGACAGCCUCUGUGUCAGCCUGCCGCUAGCACCAAUUAUCAAAACUUGCGGUUAGCAACAUUGUCUGAUUACCAAAUUUUCGAAUGAAAAUCAAAACUUUCAACAACGGAUCUCUUGGUUCCCGCAUCGAUGAAGAACGCAGCGAAACGCGAUAGUUAAUGUGAAUUGCAGAAUUCAGUGAAUCAUCGAGUCUUUGAACGCACAUUGCGCCCAUUGGUAUUCCAUUGGGCAUGUCUGUUUGAGCGUCAUUACAACCCUCGGUCACCACCGGUUUUGAGCGAGCAGGGUCUUCGGAUCCAGCUGGCUUUAAAGUUGUAAGCUCUGCUGGCUGCUCGGCCCAACCAGAACAUAGUAAAAUCAUGCUUGUUCAAGGUUCGCGGUCGAAGCGGUACGGCCUGAACAAUACCUACCACCUCUUAGGUUUGACCUCAGAUCAGACAAGGAUACCCGCUGAACUUAAGCAUAUCAAUAAGCGGAGGAAAAGAAACCAACAGGGAUUGCCUCAGUAACGGCGAGUGAAGCGGCAAAAGCUCAAAUUUGAAAUCUGGAGCCUUCGGCUUCCGAGUUGUAAUUUGAAGAGGGUGUUUCGGUUGCUGCCUUGGCCUAAGUUCCUUGGAACAGGAUGUCAUGGAGGGUGAGAAUCCCGUACAUGGCUGAAGGCUUGCUUCCAUGUGAAACCCCUUCGAAGAGUCGAGUUGUUUGGGAAUGCAGCUCAAAAUGGGUGGUAAAUUUCAUCUAAAGCUAAAUAUUGGCGGGAGACCGAUAGCGCACAAGUAGAGUGAUCGAAAGAUGAAAAGCACUUUGAAAAGAGAGUUAAACAGUACGUGAAAUUGUUGAAAGGGAAGCGCUUGCAAUCAGACUCGCUUUCGGUUGAUCAGCGACGCCUUCUGGCGCGUGCACUCUGCCGUUUGCGGGCCAGCAUCAGUUGGAGCGGUGGGACAAAGGCGGCAGGAAUGUGGCUCCCCUCGGGGAGUGUUAUAGCCUGUCGUGUCAUGCCACCAGCACCGACUGAGGUCCGCGGUUCGCCUAGGAUGCUGGCUUAAUGGUUGUAAGCGACCCGUCUUGAAACACGGACCAAGGAGUCUAACAUCUAUGCGAGUCUUUGGGUGUCAAACCCAUAGGCGUAAUGAAAGUGAACGGAGGUGGGAGUUUCGACGCACCAUCGACCGAUCCUGAUGUUCUCGGAUGGAUUUGAGUAGGAGCAUAGCUGUUGGGACCCGAAAGAUGGUGAACUAUGCCUGAAUAGGGUGAAGCCAGAGGAAACUCUGGUGGAGGCUCGCAGCGGUUCUGACGUGCAAAUCGAUCGUCAAAUUUGGGUAUAGGGGCGAAAGACUAAUCGAA
Molecule: ribosomal RNA, 1581 nt
Filed under: Orbilia rubrovacuolata
Lineage: Eukaryota; Fungi; Ascomycota; Orbiliomycetes; Orbiliales; Orbiliaceae
Description: eukaryotic LSU rRNA
Rfam family: Eukaryotic large subunit ribosomal RNA (bases 664-1581)
Source: RNAcentral